GAACCUUACCAGGACUUGACAUGCAUCUCUAAGUUGGUGAAAGCCAGCGAGUCCCGAAAGGGACAAUUUGCACAGGUGCUGCAUGGCUGUCGUCAGCUCGUGUCGUAGAUGUUGGGUUAAGUCCCGCAACGAGCGCAACCCCUGUGAACUGUUGCCACCGAGGCGUGAGCUUCGAGCACUCUGUUCAGACUGCCCCGCUUUAACGGGGAGGAAGGUGGGGACGACGUCAAGUCAGUAUGGCCCUUACGGCCAGGGCUGCACACGUACUACAAUGCCCAGUACAGAACGAUCCGAGACCGCGAGGUGGAGGAAAUCUAUCAAAACUGGGCCCAGUUCGGAUUGGAGUCUGCAACUCGACUCCAUGAAGCCGGAAUCGCUAGUAAUGGCGCAUCAGCUACGGCGCCGUGAAUACGUUCCCGGGCCUUGUCACACCGA
RNAcentral lists this ribosomal RNA (435 nucleotides) under uncultured soil bacterium. Its description in RNAcentral is "bacterial SSU rRNA". It matches the Rfam family "Bacterial small subunit ribosomal RNA", at positions 966 to 1393 of the family's 1533-position model. The record is from RNAcentral.